UCUCUACUCGAUGCGUGGUAUCAGUUUUCAAUAUAUUGAUGGCUUAUCUGUUAUUUACAGUGCUAUAUCUGUUCUCCUUGCAUGCAAUUGUGACUCUUAUUCAUCACUAUUCUAUUUAUCUGUCACUGAACCUUUUACUUUAAAUGCUGGUAAUUAAUUUUAGCUUUGAUUUGCUUAGCGACCUAACUUUCACUGUAGAAACUACUAAACGAAUGCUAGGAACUUUCUGAGAAGUUUUUGGAUAUUUGAUUGGCUUGCUAGACAAGCAGGUUGUCUCAUCCUUGGAGGCACAAUCAUCACUACACCACACACCUGCAACUUUUUUAUUUAUUAUGUUUUUCAUCUGGAAGAAAAGCCAAUUACACAAUAAUACUGGUAGGCAAACUAAUAAAUGACUGUAUAUAAGCCUAAUCUACAUGAAAGAGUGCAUAUACAACCUUCAAAUAUGACAAAUUUGAUAAGGCUGACCUAGUACUUUGUCGAAACAUUUUUAUGCACAAGCCUAAUUUGCAAAAGAAUGCAUGACAGAUGUUCGUGAACAAUUCAAUUUAGCCAGUCUCAAUCUCCGGCCUCGUUAACCUGUCCUCAAAGCCUUCAUAUACUGGUUUACUUGCUUCAUAUCUUCCUGUGCACUUCUUCGGAUAUCAUUCAUCUGAUUCCGGUCUUUAUUAUUGGUACAAUGUUGCGGUGGAGGGUAAACAUGAGCCACUUAAAAAGAACCUAACUGCAGAACCUCAAUCUCUCGGUAUUAUUACUGGGAAGAGGAAUGAAUGCCGCCAGUCAUUAUAAGGAUGUUUCUCUGUCAUUGUUCGUGAUCUUUCUUACAACAAUUUUACAUGGGGAAGCCCUCUGCCACCUGAUUGUCAACGAGAAAGAACGAACUUGUUUGGAAGCUCUUCUACAGGGAACAGCAU
Long non-coding RNA from Magnolia sinica, 914 nucleotides. RefSeq lists it as uncharacterized. The transcript has 3 exons. The record is from RefSeq and is a predicted model, not a curated record. NCBI's taxonomy places the organism in Eukaryota, Viridiplantae, Streptophyta, Magnoliopsida, Magnoliales, Magnoliaceae.